CCGACAUAAGAACUUAAAACAGUUGUGAGUUCAAGCAUAACAGUUAAUGUUCUGAGCGCACACGCAUACAGGCUGAUCUUUCGCAAUACACGAUACCUGACAGCAUAUCAGGAGUAACAAGUCUACGCACUAUUUAAUGUAACCACGUGAUCGUCAUGGUUUUCUGUAUGGGUGUGUAUUAAUUAAAACAAGAAGAGUAACGAGAAGAACACUAAUGGACAAGAAUGAUGAGAUCACAGCAUUUCCAAAACACUACCCAAAACCAGAGCCAUCUAAAGACAGAAGAAGUGAAAUAUUUGAUGAAACUCAGCAGAUAUUCAAAGACAUUGCAAAUAAAGCUGAAUCGGU
This is a long non-coding RNA of Gigantopelta aegis, 348 nucleotides long. RefSeq lists it as uncharacterized. The record is from RefSeq and is a predicted model, not a curated record. Lineage: Eukaryota; Metazoa; Mollusca; Gastropoda; Neomphalida; Peltospiridae. The transcript has 3 exons.